GUCCAAAGAGCUCUUGAUGCAGUCCGGCUCUCCUCCUCUGCCUCUCCCUGAAGGAAUGCUGGUCUUGACCACACACACUGUCAGCACAGGACCUCUGCCUUGAACUUUAUGCCUCGGACUUGAGCUUCAUGAGCCCCUCGACGGCCCCUCUGCAGCUGCAUUGGGCCACACACAGUUGCAGUUCUGUGCUGGGAGGUGACAGGCGCGGAGCUGGCACUGGAUCUGUGAGUACUUCUCCUCUGCAAAGUCAAACAGGAAAAGACACCCUUAAUGGGCACAUCAGUGGUGUUGGCAGGAUGCUGGAAUAGGGCAGCUGCAUUAAUGGUGCCACUCAGCUUCUUGGUUGGCCUCCUUCCUGCAUCGAAACCCCGCGGGACCGUCAGGCCGUAGGGAUGCUCGAGGACAAGGCAGAGGCUCCCUCCUAAGCAAACGCCACGCUGUGUUUGAGCGUAACGCCAGAUGGUUCGUCUGCCGCUGCAGAGAUGCCAUCAAACACGGCCUGGCACAGCUCGCUGCAGGCAGCCCUGAAAUACCCCAGAGCAGGGGCAAAAGGCAGCAA
This is a long non-coding RNA of Strigops habroptila (Kakapo), 559 nucleotides long. RefSeq lists it as uncharacterized. Lineage: Eukaryota; Metazoa; Chordata; Aves; Psittaciformes; Psittacidae. The transcript is spliced from 3 exons. The record is from RefSeq and is a predicted model, not a curated record.